Molecule: unclassified non-coding RNA, 300 nt
Organism: Callithrix jacchus (white-tufted-ear marmoset)
Lineage: Eukaryota; Metazoa; Chordata; Mammalia; Primates; Cebidae
Rfam family: Metazoan signal recognition particle RNA
About the family: The signal recognition particle (SRP) is a universally conserved ribonucleoprotein. It is involved in the co-translational targeting of proteins to membranes. The eukaryotic SRP consists of a 300-nucleotide 7S RNA and six proteins: SRPs 72, 68, 54, 19, 14, and 9.
Source: Ensembl
GCCAGCUGUGGUGGUGUGUGCCUGUAAUAUCAGUUACCUGGGAGACUGAGGCUGGAGGAUCGCCUGAGUCCAGGAGUUCUGGGCUCUAGAGCCCUAUGCCGAUAGGGUGUCUGCACUAAGUUCGGCAUCAAUAUGGUGAACUCCUGGGAGCGGAGGACCACCAGGUUGCCUAAGGAGGGGUGAACCAGCCCAGGUUGGAAACAGAGGAGGUCAAAACUCCCAUGCUGAUCAAUAGUGGGAUCCCGCCUGUGAAUAGCCACUGCACUCCAGCUUGGGCAACAUAGUGAGACCCCAUCGCUU